AGUUCGGAUUGAAGGCUGAAAUUCGCCUUCCAUGAAGCCGGAAUUGCUAGUAAUGGCAGGUCAGCAUACUGCCGUGAAUAGUUCCCGGGCCUUGUACACACCGCCCGUCACACCAUGAGAGUUGGGGAUACCCGAAGCCUGUGAGCUAACUUAACGGAGGCAGCAGUCGAAGGUAGAAUCAAUGAUUGGGGUGAAGUCGUAACAAGGUACC
RNAcentral lists this ribosomal RNA (211 nucleotides) under uncultured bacterium. Its description in RNAcentral is "partial 16S ribosomal RNA". It matches the Rfam family "Bacterial small subunit ribosomal RNA", at positions 1290 to 1500 of the family's 1533-position model. The record is from RNAcentral.